AUGCCGCCCGCGCUCACCUCCAACCCCCCUUCCUUCCGGCCCUUAUCCUCACCUCUCCGCCGCCGCGCCCCGUCCUUCCUCUGCCGCGUCGGCGCCGGCAAGCCUGGGGCGGAUGAGGAGGCCAAGAAGAACCCCUUCUUUGUCGACUUCAGCAGCAAGUUUGAGGACGCCAAGUCACUGAUACCGGCCUUCCCAUCGCCGGGAACAGGGUCCCUGUUUGCCGGAGGGAGGGGAAAGAAGGACCUACAGACGGUGUUCGUGGCGGGCGCCACGGGGCAGACGGGUGUCCGCAUUGCACAGACACUGCUGCGGCAAGGCUUCGCCGUGCGCGCCGGGGUUCCGGACCUCGCGUCGGCACAGGAGUUGGCUCGGCUUGCCGUCGCGUACAGACUCAUAUCCCCCGCGGAGGCACGCCGGCUCAACGCGGUGGAGUCGGAUUUUGAUGACACUGAGGCGAUCGCCAAGUCCAUCGGCCCAGCGGCCAAGGUGGUGAUCACGGUCGGCCCGGUCGAGAAGGGAUUAGAGGGCGGGCCGGUCACUACCGAGGAUGCGCUCCGGGUAGUGCAGGCUGCGGACCUCGCCGGCGUGGCACAUGUUGUGGUGGUCUACGACGAGGGCGCCGGUGGCGUCAAUGGGGCUUCCACGAACAGUGUGCUUAAUGGGUUCACGUCUUUUUUCUCGAACCUCUUCUCCCGCGUGCAGACUCUGCCGCUAAGUGAUUUUUUGGCCAAGGUGGUAGAGACCGAUGUCAAUUACACGCUAGUCAAGGCGUCACUCACUGAAGACUACGACCCUGAGAGCUCGUAUGGGCUGGUCCUGGCCAAAGAGGGUUCGUCCAGCACUACGACUUCCUCCACUGACACUGGCAAGGUGUCCAAGUUGCAGAUUGCUUCCCUUGUGGCUGAUGUUUUCUCCAACAUUGAGAUCGCAGAGAACAAGGUUGUGGAAGUUUCAACUAGCUCCUUGGGAACAUCCAAGCCCACAGUGGAGGCACUAACAGCUAUUCCUGAGGACAUUAGAAGAAAAGAGUACCAAGAAGCUGCUGCAAAUGCGAGGGCACAGGAGGAAGCCCUGGCCUCCCAGCGAGCCGCUGAUGCAGAAGAACCCACCAGUAAGCUCAAAACGGAAGCGAAGGAUACGACCUCAGAAGAGGCAGGCGCAAGCACGGUGAACGAGGCGCAGGCCUCGCUGGAGAACCUUCUAACCAGAGCCAAGGGGCUCAAGCUUAACACUGACUUCUCCUGGGACAAGUUCAGCACACAGCUUGCAGCCGUAGGAGCGACCGCGCGGAGCUCGGACGAGGAGGAACCAAGGGCCCAGAUCGCCACGGUGAGAGGCCAGGCCAAGGCCAAGAAGCUGGCACCGCAGAGGGCCGUCGUGAAGCCGGUGGCACAGAAGGUGAAGCAGGCAACAAUGCAGCCGGCUCCCAAGAAGGAGGUGAGGCCCGUGUUUGGGGGCCUCUUCAAGCAAGAGACUAUCUUUGUGGACGAGGACUGA
Molecule: ribosomal RNA, 1497 nt
Filed under: Triticum aestivum (bread wheat)
Lineage: Eukaryota; Viridiplantae; Streptophyta; Magnoliopsida; Poales; Poaceae
Description: partial small subunit ribosomal RNA
Source: RNAcentral